This 925-nucleotide ribosomal RNA is filed under the name uncultured Acidobacteriota bacterium. RNAcentral's name for it is "bacterial SSU rRNA". It matches the Rfam family "Bacterial small subunit ribosomal RNA", at positions 8 to 913 of the family's 1533-position model. Lineage: Bacteria; Pseudomonadati; Acidobacteriota. The record is from RNAcentral.
AGAGAUCAUGGCUCAGAAUCAACGCUGGCGGCGUGCCUAACACAUGCAAGUCGAACGCGAAAGGGGAGCAAUCCCUGAGUAGAGUGGCAAACGGGUGAGUAACACGUGGGUGACCUGCCUUCGAGUGGGGGAUAACGUCCCGAAAGGGACGCUAAUACCGCAUGACAUCCUGUCUUUGGACAGACGGAGAUCAAAGCCGGGGAUUCGCAAGAACCUGGCGCUUGAAGAGGGGCCCGCGCCUGAUUAGCUAGUUGGUGAGGUAACGGCUCACCAAGGCAACGAUCAGUAUCCGGCCUGAGAGGGCGGACGGACACACUGGGACUGAGACACGGCCCAGACUCCUACGGGAGGCAGCAGUGGGGAAUUGUUCGCAAUGGGCGCAAGCCUGACGACGCAACGCCGCGUGGAGGAUGAAGAUCUUCGGGUCGUAAACUCCUGUCGAGUGGGAAGAAUGGACCGGGAACGAAUACUUCCCGGUAUUGACGGUACCACUAAAGGAAGCCCCGGCUAACUCCGUGCCAGCAGCCGCGGUAAUACGGGGGGGGCAAGCGUUGUUCGGAAUUACUGGGCGUAAAGGGCUCGUAGGCGGCCAACUAAGUCAGACGUGAAAUCCCCAGGCUCAACCUGGGAACUGCGUCUGAUACUGGAUGGCUUGAAUUCGGGAGAGGGAUGCAGAAUUCCAGGUGUAGCGGUGAAAUGCGUAGAUAUCUGGAGGAAUACCGGUGGCGAAGGCGGCAUCCUGGACCGACAUUGACGCUGAGGAGCGAAAGCUAGGGGAGCAAACGGGAUUAGAUACCCCGGUAGUCCUAGCCCUAACCGAUGAAUGCUUGGUGUAACGGGUAUCGAUCCCUGUUGUGCCGAAGCUAACGCAUUAAGCAUUCCGCCUGGGGAGUACGGUCGCAAGACUGAAACUCAAAGGAAUUGA